UGGGGAAUAUUGGACAAUGGGCGAAAGCCUGAUCCAGCCAUGCCGCGUGUGUGAAGAAGGUCUUCGGAUUGUAAAGCACUUUAAGUUGGGAGGAAGGGCAGUAAAUUAAUACUUUGCUGUUUUGACGUUACCGACAGAAUAAGCACCGGCUAACUCUGUGCCAGCAGCCGCGGUAAUACAGAGGGUGCAAGCGUUAAUCGGAAUUACUGGGCGUAAAGCGCGCGUAGGUGGUUCGUUAAGUUGGAUGUGAAAUCCCCGGGCUCAACCUGGGAACUGCAUUCAAAACUGACGAGCUAGAGUAUGGUAGAGGGUGGUGGAAUUUCCUGUGUAGCGGUGAAAUGCGUAGAUAUAGGAAGGAACACCAGUGGCGAAGGCGACCACCUGGACUGAUACUGACACUGAGGUGCGAAAGCGUGGGGGAG
This 422-nucleotide ribosomal RNA is filed under the name uncultured bacterium. Its description in RNAcentral is "partial 16S ribosomal RNA". It matches the Rfam family "Bacterial small subunit ribosomal RNA", at positions 355 to 769 of the family's 1533-position model. The record is from RNAcentral.